GGGUUGUGAGGUUAAGCGACUAAGCGUACACGGUGGAUGCCCUGGCAGUCAGAGGCGAUGAAGGACGUGCUAAUCUGCGAUAAGCGUCGGUAAGGUGAUAUGAACCGUUAUAACCGGCGAUUUCCGAAUGGGGAAACCCAGUGUGAUUCGUCACACUAUCAUUAACUGAAUCCAUAGGUUAAUGAGGCGAACCGGGGGAACUGAAACAUCUAAGUACCCCGAGGAAAAGAAAUCAACCGAGAUUCC
Molecule: ribosomal RNA, 246 nt
Filed under: Escherichia coli
Lineage: Bacteria; Pseudomonadati; Pseudomonadota; Gammaproteobacteria; Enterobacterales; Enterobacteriaceae
Also listed under: 1 other name
Description: partial 23S ribosomal RNA
Rfam family: Bacterial large subunit ribosomal RNA
Source: RNAcentral